Molecule: ribosomal RNA, 1848 nt
Filed under: Triticum aestivum (bread wheat)
Lineage: Eukaryota; Viridiplantae; Streptophyta; Magnoliopsida; Poales; Poaceae
Description: partial small subunit ribosomal RNA
Source: RNAcentral
AUGAAUGUCAUCGAGGUACCUAUGUUUCCUCAGUCCUACCAGGAAAGUUUUCAGAUAGUUACUGCUAAGAACUUCUAUGCAGUUCUCUUGGGCAAUAAAACUGCAGUCACUGGAGGGAGCAAACCAAAUGACCAUAUAUCUACUACUCAGAUCACGGGGGUUCUGGAGUCCUUGGCGUGUGCAAGUAUGCCCAACCUGCCAUAUCUCUAUGCUGCGGAUUUUAUCAAGGUCUUACAAGAACAACAUGCAUCCAACACCUACGCAAAAAUGGGUUUGAUGCUUGCAGACCUCAAUAUUUAUGUCACAACAGCAUCUAAUGCAGAAGAAAGCACCUGGGGUACAUACUGCCCAGGAAUGGAGCCAUCGCCUCCUUCUGAGUAUAUUACCUGCUUAGGUGAUCUCUACAGUAUUUCCUGGAUGGAAGACAGAAAUAGCAUCGGCUGCAUAGAUGGAGCGCCGAUCUGGAGGCCCCUGAUCGGAAGGGAAGCCACUGGAGCUGCUGCGGGAGAUGGUGGCGGUACGCUGGUAGAGCUUGGAGCAGACGUGGAGGGGCCGGACCUGCUGGUCCUUGAAGGUGCUGAAGUUUGUUUUAAAGGUUUGCCAUGUUUCUUUAAAAUUUAUCCGUUGAAUUUGUAUGUCUGCUCCACUGGGCUGCUGCUGCAAGCUUUCAUGUUUGGCUCUUGCACCAUUGUUUCAUAUUUGUGUACAUGUACUAAGAAAAGGAACGGCUUGUGUUCCACGAUGUACCUGUAUUGCGGCAUGAUCCAAGGAGUGGGUCACUGCAUAUAUCCUGACAUGACUGGUCUUUUAUUGUUAUCUUCUUGGGAGUACUUGAGAAGGCGUGGCGGGGAAGGUGGGGACACGCCAUGGCAGAGGCCAGUGGCAAACCUACGUGUAAGCCCUGAGGUCCGGGGAAGGUCGGAGACUGAUGUGGAUGCGCAAGGGCAGCGCUGGCCUCUGCCUAGAAGGGCAAUCACAGUGUACAGAGCUCUAGCAGCACUACGCCGUCAUCCUCUGCCUCACCCCGGCCGCAUGAAUUUCAAGAGAUGCAAGGAAGUAGGAGGAAGAAGAAAUGCAGGCGACCUCAUGAAAGUCACAGCAGCAAAGAUCCACAGAUUGCAAUCUGUUAUUGUUAUCUUCUUGGGAGUACUUGAGAAGGCGUGGCGGGGAAGGUGGGGAAACGCCAUGGCAGAGGCCAGUGGCAAACCUACGUCACAAAAACACAAUAACAGUUGGGAGGGCUGCUUUAUAUCCCUAGACCCCCACCCACACCUGACCGCCAUCUCCCUCUUUCCUCGGUAUCAUAACCUGAUGCGACGUUGGCGGCGCAGCAGUCCGGAGGAGGCCAGCAGUGCCGACGACGGCUCUGCGAUGGGGAAAGGGAAGAGACAUGAUCAUAUCGAUCACCAGUCAUGGAGUCAAGUGGUUGUUGUCGUCAAGCUAAAUGUUGCGUGGAUGCAGGUGGAUGUGGGCGCCGCGGCUGCCACCAAGGAUGUAGGGGUCAUGCUACAACCGGGAGUUAACUGGAAAAUAUUAUUCCUAGCCACUAACGUGUGGGCUACUUGCAUCCUGGCAUGCCAUGUAGGCAGAGUUUUUAGCACCGAGUUGAACAUCUAUUGGGUGUUCCGCAACUCCGUCGGCGAGUCCGGACCGAGGUUGCGGAGCCAGGGCGAGCGUCGUAGACGAAGUAGUCGAAGUAGUCGAACACGCGAAAGGACUAAGGGGUCAAGGGAUAAGUACCCACUUAACGUAAAGAGGGGAAACGGGAGGGGCCAGCCCGUGCGAUUUGCACGCGGCUGCCGCCACCCUCCCGGAUGGCCCGGUUUCCCAACACUCCCCCUUGGGUAA